UGGGGAAUAUUGCACAAUGGGCGAAAGCCUGAUGCAGCAACGCCGCGUGAGUGAUGAAGGUCUUCGGAUUGUAAAGCUCUGUCUUUUGGGACGAUAAUGACGGUACCAAAGGAGGAGCCACGGCUAACUACGUGCCAGCAGCCGCGGUAAUACGUAGGUGGCGAGCGUUGUCCGGAUUUACUGGGCGUAAAGGGUGCGUAGGCGGAUGUUUAAGUGAGAUGUGAAAUACCCGGGCUUAACUUGGGUGCUGCAUUUCAAACUGGAUAUCUAGAGUGCAGGAGAGGAGAAUGGAAUUCCUAGUGUAGCGGUGAAAUGCGUAGAGAUUAGGAAGAACACCAGUGGCGAAGGCGAUUCUCUGGACUGUAACUGACGCUGAGGCACGAAAGGCGUGGGUAGCAAACAGGAUUAGAUACCCUGGUAGUCCACGCCGUAAACGAUGAGUACUAGGUGUAGGAGGUAUCGACCCCUUCUGUGCCGCAGUAAACACAUUAAGUACUCCGCCUGGGAAGUACGAUCGCAAGAUUAAAACUCUAAAGUGAAUUGAC
This 545-nucleotide ribosomal RNA is filed under the name uncultured bacterium. RNAcentral describes it as "partial 16S ribosomal RNA". It matches the Rfam family "Bacterial small subunit ribosomal RNA", at positions 355 to 914 of the family's 1533-position model. The record is from RNAcentral.